Molecule: long non-coding RNA, 6963 nt
Filed under: Orbicella faveolata
Lineage: Eukaryota; Metazoa; Cnidaria; Anthozoa; Scleractinia; Merulinidae
Description: uncharacterized LOC110059595
Source: RNAcentral
AGGAGGUUCCCAAGGUCUUCCUUGCGUGACGUGUUAUUAAGCGCAUUUGAUUCGGAGAAGAUUUUCCUUUUAAUUUUGGCGUCACGGUUGUUCUGUUCACGGUCUUCGCUUUUGUCCUGGUACAUGAAAAACGUGAUCCCACGCAACGUACCCGCGAAAAACCGUCUUCCCCGCGAGCACUUUUCGUGACGCGAAAGAAACUGGUAACGAAAGAAAAUCCAACAUGGCGGUGGGAGUUCGCAGUUUUGAGGAGGAUUAUAAACUUAUUUUGGUACCAAAGGUACAAUUAAUACGCCACCUAUGGUAUGUCUUGCCUGUUUAAGCAUAUUUUUCCUCUUCUGGAUGGAUUUGAGAGCAAGGAAAAUGGUUUUGGUGGUUGCAGAACAGCGAAAUGAAGAGGACAUGUUACACCGUUCUGACGCACAGUACUGCUUAGUAACAACAGCAAAACUCUUACUAAAGAUCAUCUGGAUGGACAGUGGACAAACCUUGAUAGACAGUGGAGAAGUGUUGAAGGACAGUGGAAAGAUCAAAAUGUGCAGACCCUCACCCACCAGAAUGCUGGACAGCUGAGGUCAUUACAAGACAGCAUGGACUUUGGAGAGACUAGCAAAAACCAAGACAAGACAACAAGACGGUUUAAGUAGAUGUCUAUUUGAUCAUGUAUUUUUCUGGCCCAGCCCGGGAGGCCUUUGAAUGUGGGGUACAGCUGGCCCGGGGUUUUCCUCCUAGGGGCAAGUGGACGUACGGGGAGGUUUUUCACCCAGCUGUUGUUCCACAACAGGUAGUUGGUAGUUGGUUAUUUCUUUACCUUCAAGACUCUUGGCAAACUUCUUGCAUUGGUUUCAAGCAACAACCUGAUGAAUUCUAAAACAUAUACAGUCACUAACUUAUUAGAACAAACAACUCUCAACUGAUGCUAACAACUACAUGGCUUGUACUUCUCUUUCACCCAACAACUGGUGUUUCAAUACCUCAACAAGGCAAUAAACAAUUAACUGUGACUUCAAACAGAACCAACACAAACUUAUUGUAACUCACAACAGAUUGAUUGAAUCUGACACCAACAAGUACAUGUACAUGUACUUUCAUUAUCACUUUUUGCCAUCAGUCCUUGGGGGUAAUGGGCCAGACAUUCGUCUUCAACAUGCCACUCAGUCACAUGCAAUCACUGCUGUAUCACUCCACUACAUAAAAACCAGGGCUGUCCUUUCUUUCCCUGCGUUUCUCACACGGACCUCAGACAUAACCAAUACAAACUUAACUGACAAUAGAUGGAUUGAGACUGACAGCAUCUGACAACAAGAUCUACCAGCUUACGCCUUACAGACAACUUAUUCAUGACCUCAACAAACCUAAAAACUACUUGUGACUUCAGCACUUCAGUGUAGAAUACUAAAUUACAAGACUGUUAUCGAUACUGCCAGGUACUACCGACUUCUUCCAUGAUUGCCUCAUAGGGGAAUCCCUAGGGAUUUUUGGUGGUUUAGAUUUUUGCCCCAAUUCAAUCACCCCAUCACUUGAAAUCCCGAGCACCCCCUGGGAUCACCAAAGCUUUGCUGACUACAGAAACUGCACAAGCCAAAUACCAAUGCAAGGAUUAGCAUUGAGUCAGAUAAUAUUACUGUUAUGUGUAGAGGUGUGUGUGCCACCAGUGUUCAAACAAGUGCCUUUUUUAAAAAAAAAAAACACUCUAGCUGCCCACUGCAUGUCAUUAUAUGGGUCAGAGGUCUCUGUUAUUGUCUGUAAUUUUCACCGCAGUGUUCAUAAUAAAUUAAUUUCGAUUGAAAAUAAAUUAUUGACAAUGUUGUUGUUUGUUUCAUGAUGAGGUGCUUUAGGAUGUAGAUUGUAAUGUUUUGACUGCUUACUGCUAGUCUUCAUAGUGUUCAUCUGGCAAUGAAGGGUUGCAGAAAGAAGUCAAACACCACAAUCUGCAUCUUAUAGUGACUAAAUCAUGAGACAGACAAUAACUCACUUUACAAUGACCAGCCACCAUCUCUUUCACGGCAAAUUUACUUUUUUUGGAUGAUGCAUAUUCAUGAGAGAACUACAUGCUGCAGCAGAGAUCUCUGACUCCAAUCAAUGAACCAGUAAAUCAUGAAACCCACUCCGCUUGGCUGAUUUGAAUCCACUGAACAGUAAAUAUUACUCUUGCCCUUGUUUGUUCCUUUUGAGUUAGGUUUGAAGGUCCCAGUAUAAGACUCCUUUGAGCAGUGUUUUUUUUUACUUAGAUGUGUGAUGUACAGUUGCUCCAAGGCAAAGUCUGAAGUAUUAAUUGUUUAGAAAAGUUGACCAAAAGUUGUAAAAGAAAAAUUCAAACUCAUUCAUGAACAAACAAACGGUUAAAUAGCACAUUCUCUUAUCUUGUCUCCAUACUUUUCUAAUAGGUACUGAUUGAUCAUUUUGAGAAACAAACUAAGACAAAUCUUCCUUGUGAUUCACAAUUAUUUGGUCAGUUCUCAUGAUCAUUAUUGGGCCAUAAAGGUGAAACAAAACUUAACAACAACAAAUCAUGUUCAACUAAAUUUUAGGAGUUUAUUUCUUCAAUUCAAAAUUCACAUUAUUUGCAAACCACAAGUAAUGUAACAAAAAAUAGUCUGAAAUUUAAAAUUUGGAAAUGUAUGUUUAGCAAGUAGGGAAAGCAAACAGGAAGCCUGUUAUGGUAACUGCUUAGUGACUUUUUUAUUGGGCACAUACUAAGGUUUCAUUCUUAGCCUUAAUUGCGAGAUUAGAAGGCUUCAGCACAUGCACAGGACAACCAGUUUUUCAGUAUUCUGCUUUUGCAUUUGGGUUUGGUUCAUUACAGGUUAUGAUAAAUUACUUUUAAGUGAGAAAAUUCUUAGAAUUUAGCUUGCACAUUCUUCACUGCUCAAAGGAAAGCUUGCUAAAAGAUAAUUAUUAUUUUUGAAAUCACUGACUUAUUUCCUUUUUCAAACGCUUUUCUGUUUUUAAGUGCCUGGCAGCUUGAUGGUGGUUGUUUAAUUCAUAAACAAGGGAAGCAUUCGAUAUUACAAAUUGAGUAAUCUCAAGAUAGUCAGUCAAAUAUUUUUCAUUUAAAAUUCACAGUCUAUCAGUUUGGACAAAAACUGUUCAUCUCGAAAAAUUGGCCUGGGAAACACAGGUCAUUUUGCAUCCCAUGUUCAGUUGUCAUAACCACUGUAAGUGGGCUGCUACAAAAUUUACCAGCUUUCUAGUUUUUGCAAUGUUAUCAAUCUUCCUAUUUUAAAUUUAAAACACCAUUAAUAGCUAUAACUGCUAUUGCUUCCCUUGUUUAUAUUAGUUUAAUAUAUUAUUUUAUGUGUAUAUUACUUUGUACAUAAGUACAUGUAGAUCUGCAAGCUCAUUUGCCUAAACUGAAAAUACACAAGAGUAAAAAUAGUUAUUUUCAAGCACUGCAAAAGUUGCAAUGACUAGCUAGGUGUGAUGAAAGCCUUAUUGUUGCUACUCCAUCACAUUUACCUUCUUGACUCAAUUUAUUCCUUUCAGCACGUACCAAAAUGUUCAUUAAUGUAAAUGUUCUAGGCCUUAAGCCACAAAAUAUGACACUAGGUUGCAGAAAAAGUUUGAGUGGUAAUAUCAUUGAAGAAUUAGCCCAAAUUAAUUGUGGUUUAUCCCUUAGGAAUUAUUCUUUUUUUGGAAUGGGGCUAUUUUUGUUUUCAUUUUCAAUUUCUCAAUUUUUGAUGCAGUUAUUACUGGCUUAUGGUAAUAUUUGUAAAAUUUAGGCAAAGUUAGAUCAACAGUCUGCAUUUUAAUUGAAGUUAUCGCUAGUUUCUCUUGUUUUCCUGUUAUUUUAUUUUAUUGUGAUCUACAAACAGCAUCUUUUAUUCUUUUGCACCAUUACAUUAAAUAAUCCUUUUUGCUUAGCCUUGAGUGACAGCAUAAUGCAGACUGUUGAUGAACAGUAGUUUAUUUUAAUUUUAUUUGCCAGAUUUCUUGGUUCUUCCUUGGUGUUGCAAGUCGUCAUAUUUUGACAGCUCUUUAAGUCCUCCUUUAAGUUUUUUUCAGUACUUAAUUCACUCAACAAAUUGUAGGGUUUUUUUGUACUGUUUUCUUGUUUAAUCUUUAGGAUUGUUUUGCUUGGUACCCUAAACACACACCCUCACGGGUAGCUUAAGAUUUUAAUCUUGAUUUCUUCAGACGUGUAUCACCAAGAAACAGCCAGUUUUUUCUUUUUUAGUUUAGUUAUAUUGCUAAUGAGCUUGCAUGUAUCUACUAAAAAUGUUAGGGUAUUAUUUAAUUCCAGGACAGAAGGUGCCACACACACCAAGACACAAAUCUAGCCAAUCGCGUCCCUGCUGGGUUGCAGAAGCUCUGCCUCUGAGAAGGUGUGUGUUUCUGUCCUCUGAGAAUAUUCCAACUGAGAAAUCCUGGGUAACUUUAUCUGAUACUGUAAUUCAAGCUGGGGACAGUUUGGGCACUUGGAAGAGUUGGCUGCUUGCUCUCAAGUAGUGUGGACAGUGUGAAGGAAGGUGAGAGUUUGCUUUUCAUGCCGUUAGGGUUCCACUUAAUUUGUCACAAUACUACACCAUCAGUUCCGGCCCAGCAAGGUGCUUUUUCACAGUCAGUGUAUCUGGAAAUGUUCCACAUCCAAGGACGUAAAACAGUAGUGCUGAAUUGUGGGGUUUGAGGAGGGUGCAUCUCUAGAGAAAGCAUAGACAGAGGAGAUCACUGAAUUUCAUCGGAGUGACCUGAUUGGAUUUUCACAACUGACGUCAAAUUGAGUUGAGUCUCUGGGGGUCUCUCUGAUUGGGUUGCUACCAGGUCAGGUUUCUCUCUUUUCUAGUUUUUCAUAAAAAAAUAAACUUUAACUUUAAAUAACUAAAAUAAAAUCCUAUAGGCCCAAUUAUAACCAAAACACAUCUUUUUGAAAACAAAAUUCUUAUUAAACAUUUUCUUAAAUUUUCAUUCUCCCUGUCAAGAAAUUUCACAACUAAACUAGCUUCAUUCUCUGUUUCAUUUUCAUUGAACUUAAGACAUAAUUCUUAAAGUUCCCAAACACUCCACAAACUUUAGGGGGUCUGAGCACCAGCUUUUGACACCAGGGUCUCUGGAAUCGCCUUGGUAACCAACAAGAGCUGUGAUUGGGUUAAUAGCUGCCUUGGUAACUGUGAACCAAUCAUAGCUCAUGCCAGGUACCAAAAUAAUCCCAGAAAUUCUUGUGCUGACAGCUUUCGCCUAGUCUUCCUUAAGUUCCUGGGGUGUUCAAGAGUAAUUCUUAUUUGUCAAUUGGCUAUUUAUUAGAAACUUAGCAUAUAAUGGGUCUUUGAGGAAUAAUUCUCAUUGGUGGGCCGGUUAAAUGUUAAGUAAAUCGGCAGCAUUAAAUUAAACAGCUAAUUAGCAUUGAUGAAGGGUAAUCCUGAAAUAUCUUACAUUGAUCAUUAUUUAAAGCUUAGCACUUAAGUUAAUUCAGUUUCUUACCAACCGAACAAAUCAAACAGGAAUCAAAACCUUUCACUAACAGUUUAUAAAUAUAAUUUAUAUAGAAUGAUAAAAAUUAAAACAGUCUAGCAUUUCUUUAUUUUUGAAUAUAUAUGUUGCAAUAACAAUAAAAAUUCAUAUUCAUAAGCAUUUUGUGUGGGGCUGGCACUUUCCUAGGUAGGGUAAGGCUCAAUUUUUCCAUGGUGUUUUUUACGGAUUGUCACGCAAUGCUCCUCCAAAAUGUGUGCAUACACAUUGCGUGAGCAGAGAAGAAGGAUGCUACAAUCUCUUGCAAUGGGGAUUCUUAAUUAAAUUUCUGCAAUUGAAAUUAACGAUGCAAGUUGGAUUUCAAAUCAUUUGAAGUCAAAACUCUGCCAAAUAAAGAAAAAAAUCGCGACCAAAUUUAUUAGUCAACAAUUUUCUAGUUAAAAUCUUCGCGCGCAUAAUUAUUCAACCUAAACAGAAUUAUUAAUAUAAUUUUUAACGCACAUCAACUUCCCGAUUCUUAUCACUGUAAGCAGCGAUUCAGCUCAAACCUCUAGCUUGUUUUAGUAUUAAAAUAACAAGACCCGCUCAGCUUCGUAUGUUCAUUGCUCGUUUCGGAUCACGGAUGUUCUCUGGAGAAUUGUCCUCCAAAUUAUUCAUUUAUUCGCAAGGGAAUUUGAUUUGCACUUGAAUUAAAAAAAUUCUCCAGAGUAACGUCACGUGAGAUGAAAUAGGACAACAAACAAACAAGCUGAAUAAGCAUAAUUAACUAAAACAUUUGGCAAUAUGUUUUAUUUUUAAAAGAAAACGAAACCUUUCUUCGCCAUAAUAAUCGGCCAAUUUCUUUCAUCCAAAUUAAAGAGAGAUACCUGACAAUGGUAGCUUCACAGAUGAGAGACUCAUAGCGACUUGUGCUCUUUGGUGAAGUUUGUGGAAUGACGGUCGGUGGGAGGUUUGGUCGGAAGGUCAGACUGGCGGAUUCUGUGUUCAAUUCUUUCUUUGAUUUCAACGGUGAUGCACUGGAAUUAAGCACCAUACUUAAGCGCUUCGGUUUUUCUUGUCCAAGUUGCGAACAUUUCCAACUUCAAUGGGUUUUCAUCCAAAAUAGUCCGGGAGGGCGAACUUAUCGGCAAAUCAUUUAUUUUUGAUACAAUGACUCGCCUAAUGGCAUCUUUAAAAAAAUUAUCAAUUUGGUUUUUUAAUUUUUUUUCUUGUUAACUCCAAAAGUAUUUGAGUGUGGCAUUGUGACAAAUUAAGACAAAGACCCCGGAGGCAUGGGGAGCAAACUCUCACUUUCCUUUACGCUGUCCACCCCACUUGAGAGCAAACGAUCAACUCUCCCAAGUGUUCAACUGUUCCCGCCUUGGGUAUAGAGAUCAGAUAAAACAGACCAGGAUUUCAAAGUUGGAAUCUCAAACAAGGACUAAAGAAACAACACCAACUUGCAGCAGAGUGUAAGCAACCCAAAACGCAGGGACAAGAUUGGCUAGAUUAUUUUUUUUAACUUAAAGUAAUGGACAACAGAGACAAUUUUUAUUUCAAUAAAAUAUUGUUACCCUU